CAACGACUCUCGGCAACGGAUAUCCCGGCUCUCGCAUCGAUGAAGAACGUAGCGAAAUGCGAUACUUGGUGUGAAUUGCAGAAUCCCGUGAACCAUCGAGUCUUUGAACGCAAGUUGCGCCUGAGGCCGUCAGGCUAAGGGCACGUCUGCCUGGGUGUCACGC
RNAcentral lists this ribosomal RNA (163 nucleotides) under Helosciadium crassipes. RNAcentral's name for it is "5.8S ribosomal RNA". It matches the Rfam family "5.8S ribosomal RNA". Rfam says of the family: 5.8S ribosomal RNA (5.8S rRNA) is a component of the large subunit of the eukaryotic ribosome. Lineage: Eukaryota; Viridiplantae; Streptophyta; Magnoliopsida; Apiales; Apiaceae. The record is from RNAcentral.